This is a long non-coding RNA of Limulus polyphemus (Atlantic horseshoe crab), 178 nucleotides long. RefSeq lists it as uncharacterized. The transcript is spliced from 3 exons. NCBI's taxonomy places the organism in Eukaryota, Metazoa, Arthropoda, Merostomata, Xiphosura, Limulidae. The record is from RefSeq and is a predicted model, not a curated record.
GGUUGUGGAAAACACGGAUGAUAUCGCAAUAUUUGACGAGGUAUUUGAAUGGCCUGUAGCAAGACCAGUAGAAAGCCAUGAGGCUUUGGAAAUUCAACUUCUUAAUUACAACAAAUAUUUCACCAACAAAGUUACUGGAUGUUACGGACUGGUUCUGCAACAAUUGGUAGAAGAUGGA